RNAcentral lists this non-coding RNA (129 nucleotides) under Rhodosorus marinus. Lineage: Eukaryota; Rhodophyta; Stylonematophyceae; Stylonematales; Stylonemataceae. The record is from RNAcentral.
UUUCAUUGUUUAUUUUUGUUUUUUUUUUUUUUUUUUUGUGUUGCUUUUGCGGGGAAAAGGGGGAAAGACACUGUACACGAGAAAAGGGAGACGAAGGGUUGGAGAUAGGAAUAGGACUUUUUUUUUUUU